AGAUUGAAAAAUCACAGGAAGAUCAAAGAAGUAAAAUAAUUUGCCCUUCCAAGACCAUGUCAUUGAUGGUGGCUGAAUUUGAACCCAGAUAAGUACAACCCAUGUACUUCCCCACCGGACUGUCUGCCUGCCCCCUCAAGGAUCUGCUAAGGACUUGACUCUCUGUACAGAUAAUUGCUUCAAGAGAGGAAAAAGGCAGGAGGAUCUAUCUGGUACAUAGGUUUAAACUAGGCAUCUGUGCUAAACCUGAAUGGUGGAACUACUAUAUUCUAUGUAUUGAGUAGAGGUAUACCAUAUUCAACGUAUUUCUCCACUUCACACACUGUUCAAGAAUAAACCCCAUUCUGUCUCAGCUGUGGAGAUCAAUGAAAAGACUCUGUCUUCUUGCCGCCAGAUAUGUUACCUGCACUUAGAGAAUUGAAAGUGCAAAUCAAAGGAGUGUUCUUUUGGGAAGAGAGUUUUAGCGGAAAGGUCUGGAUGCUGGUGAACUGAUGAGGAAGCAGCAGUUAUUUCUGAGAUUUAACUUUGACCUGGGCUUUGAAGAGACACCCAUUCACCACUGUUGCAACUGCAUGCUUCCAGGAACUGGAGAGCAGAAGAACUUACAACUUUUGAUGAAUUCAUCAAGCAAAAGAACUCGUCCCUCGCACCACGAGGAACCCCUCAUGUCACCCUCCAGUAGCCUCCUGCUCUUACACGAGGGGCCAACAGGAACUGACCCUCAGAUCAGCCAGAGCACAGGGGCCAGUUUUUAAUAGUGAAGGAAAAUGCGAAAAUCUCAAAUAGGGACAAAAGAGAAACAUGGCUUUCUGCACAAUUGUA
RNAcentral lists this long non-coding RNA (822 nucleotides) under Rhinolophus ferrumequinum (greater horseshoe bat). RNAcentral's name for it is "lncRNA (ENSRFEG00010007404.1)". The stretch from base 325 to 459 matches the Rfam family "CDKN2B antisense RNA 1 convserved region 3". Lineage: Eukaryota; Metazoa; Chordata; Mammalia; Chiroptera; Rhinolophidae. The record is from RNAcentral.